GACGAACGCUGGCGGCGUGCUUAACACAUGCAAGUCGAACGGAAAGGCCCUGCUUUUGUGGGGUGCUCGAGUGGCGAACGGGUGAGUAACACGUGAGUAACCUGCCCUUGACUUUGGGAUAACUUCAGGAAACUGGGGCUAAUACCGGAUAGGAGCUCCUGCUGCAUGGUGGUGGUUGGAAAGUUUCGGCGGUUGGGGAUGGACUCGCGGCUUAUCAGCUUGUUGGUGGGGUAGUGGCUUACCAAGGCGUUGACGGAUAGCCGGCCUGAGAGGGUGACCGGCGACAUUGGGACUGAGAUACGGACCAGACGCCUACGGGAGGCAGCAGUGGGGAACAUUGCACAAUGGGCGGAAGCCUGAUGCAGCAACGCCGCGUGCGGGAUGACGGCCUUCGGGUUGUAAAACGCUUUCGCCUGUGACGAAGAGGGAGUGACGGUAAUGGGUAAAGAAGCACCGGCUAACUACGUG
This 468-nucleotide ribosomal RNA is filed under the name uncultured bacterium. Its description in RNAcentral is "partial 16S ribosomal RNA". It matches the Rfam family "Bacterial small subunit ribosomal RNA", at positions 28 to 507 of the family's 1533-position model. The record is from RNAcentral.